This 496-nucleotide ribosomal RNA is filed under the name uncultured bacterium. RNAcentral describes it as "partial 16S ribosomal RNA". It matches the Rfam family "Bacterial small subunit ribosomal RNA", at positions 28 to 506 of the family's 1533-position model. The record is from RNAcentral.
GUUGAACGCUGGCGGCGUGCCUAAUACAUGCAAGUCGAGCGAACAGACGAGGAGCUUGCUCCUCUGACGUUAGCGGCGGACGGGUGAGUAACACGUGGAUAACCUACCUAUAAGACUGGGAUAACUUCGGGAAACCGGAGCUAAUACCGGAUAAUAUAUUGAACCGCAUGGUUCAAUAGUGAAAGACGGUUUUGCUGUCACUUAUAGAUGGAUCCGCGCCGCAUUAGCUAGUUGGUAAGGUAACGGCUUACCAAGGCAACGAUGCGUAGCCGACCUGAGAGGGUGAUCGGCCACACUGGAACUGAGACACGGUCCAGACUCCUACGGGAGGCAGCAGUAGGGAAUCUGCCGCAAUGGGCGAAAGCCUGACGGAGCAACGCCGCGUGAGUGAUGAAGGUCUUCGGAUCGUAAAACUCUGUUAUUAGGGAAGAACAAAUGUGUAAGUAACUAUGCACGUCUGGACGGUACCUAAUCAGAAAGCCACGGCUAACUACGU